This 249-nucleotide ribosomal RNA is filed under the name Caulobacter sp. RNAcentral describes it as "partial 16S Ribosomal RNA". It matches the Rfam family "Bacterial small subunit ribosomal RNA", at positions 88 to 354 of the family's 1533-position model. Lineage: Bacteria; Pseudomonadati; Pseudomonadota; Alphaproteobacteria; Caulobacterales; Caulobacteraceae. The record is from RNAcentral.
GGGAUUAGUGGCGGACGGGUGAGUAACACGUGGGAACGUGCCUUUUGGUUCGGAACAACUCAGGGAAACUUGAGCUAAUACCGGAUAAGCCCUUCGGGGGAAAGAUUUAUCGCCAUUAGAGCGGCCCGCGUACGAUUAGCUAGUUGGUGGGGUAAUGGCCCACCAAGGCUACGAUCCUUAGCUGGUCUGAGAGGAUGAUCAGCCACAUUGGGACUGAGACACGGCCCAAACUCCUACGGGAGGCAGCAG